RNAcentral lists this ribosomal RNA (1496 nucleotides) under metagenome. RNAcentral describes it as "bacterial SSU rRNA". It matches the Rfam family "Bacterial small subunit ribosomal RNA". The record is from RNAcentral.
AGAGUUUGAUCCUGGCUCAGAUUGAACGCUGGCGGCAUGCCUUACACAUGCAAGUCGAACGGCAGCACGGGAGCAAUCCUGGUGGCGAGUGGCGAACGGGUGAGUAAUGUAUCGGAACGUACCUUUCAGUGGGGGAUAACGUAGCGAAAGUUACGCUAAUACCGCAUAUUCUGUGAGCAGGAAAGCAGGGGAUCGCAAGACCUUGCGCUGAUUGAGCGGCCGAUAUCAGAUUAGCUAGUUGGUGAGGUAAAGGCUCACCAAGGCGACGAUCUGUAGCGGGUCUGAGAGGAUGAUCCGCCACACUGGAACUGUGACACGGUCCAGACUCCUACGGGAGGCAGCAGUGGGGAAUUUUGGACAAUGGGGGCAACCCUGAUCCAGCCAUGCCGCGUGAGUGAAGAAGGCCUUCGGGUUGUAAAGCUCUUUCAGCCGGGAAGAAAUCACAUGGGUUAAUACCCUGUGUGGAUGACGGUACCGGAAUAAGAAGCACCGGCUAACUACGUGCCAGCAGCCGCGGUAAUACGUAGGGUGCGAGCGUUAAUCGGAAUUACUGGGCGUAAAGUGUGCGCAGGCGGCUUUGCAAGACAGACGUGAAAUCCCCGGGCUCAACCUGGGAACUGCGUUUAUGACUGGCAGGCUAGAGUAUGGCAGAGGGGGGUGGAAUUCCACGUGUAGCAGUGAAAUGCGUAGAGAUGUGGAGGAACACCGAUGGCGAAGGCAGCCCCCUGGGCCAAUACUGACGCUCAUGCACGAAAGCGUGGGUAGCAAACAGGAUUAGAUACCCUGGUAGUCCACGCCCUAAACGAUGUCAACUAGGUGUUGGGUGGGUAAAACCAUUUAGUACCGGAGCUAACGCGUGAAGUUGACCGCCUGGGGAGUACGGCCGCAAGGUUAAAACUCAAAGGAAUUGACGGGGACCCGCACAAGCGGUGGAUGAUGUGGAUUAAUUCGAUGCAACGCGAAAAACCUUACCUACCCUUGACAUGUCCAGAAGCUCUUAGAGAUUUGAGUGUGCCCGAAAGGGAACUGGAACACAGGUGCUGCAUGGCUGUCGUCAGCUCGUGUCGUGAGAUGUUGGGUUAAGUCCCGCAACGAGCGCAACCCUUGUCGUUAAUUGCCAUCAUUUAGUUGGGCACUUUAACGAGACUGCCGGUGACAAACCGGAGGAAGGUGGGGAUGACGUCAAGUCCUCAUGGCCCUUAUGGGUAGGGCUUCACACGUCAUACAAUGGUCGGUACAAAGGGUUGCCAACCCGCGAGGGGGAGCUAAUCCCAGAAAGCCGAUCGUAGUCCGGAUCGUAGGCUGCAACUCGCCUGCGUGAAGUCGGAAUCGCUAGUAAUCGUGGAUCAGCAUGUCACGGUGAAUACGUUCCCGGGUCUUGUACACACCGCCCGUCACACCAUGGGAGCGGGUUCCGCCAGAAGUAGGUAGCCUAACCGCAAGGAGGGCGCUUACCACGGCGGGGUUCGUGACUGGGGUGAAGUCGUAACAAGGUA